Molecule: ribosomal RNA, 762 nt
Filed under: Taylorella equigenitalis
Lineage: Bacteria; Pseudomonadati; Pseudomonadota; Betaproteobacteria; Burkholderiales; Alcaligenaceae
Description: bacterial LSU rRNA
Rfam family: Bacterial large subunit ribosomal RNA
Source: RNAcentral
GAGUGAAAGGCUCCCUCGCCGUAAGUCCAAGGAUUCCUGCGCAACGUUCAUCGGCGCAGGGUUAGUCGGCCCCUAAGGUGAGGCAGAGAUGCGUAGCUGAUGGGAAGUGGGUUAAUAUUCCUACACCGAUAUGUGAAGUGAAGGGGGGACGGAUUGCGAAAUGUGAACGAGCUGAUGGAAGUGCUCGGUAUUGUAGCUAAGAAGUUGAUUAGGCAAAUCCGGUCAAAGGAUUCAAGGCUAUGAUUCGAAGAAGACGUAAUGUUUUUGAAGUCACAGGAAGUGGUUCCAAGAAAAGCCUCUAAGCGAUAAUUUACAUAUUGACCGUACCGCAAACCGACACAGGUGGACGGGAUGAAUAUUCCAAGGCGCUUGAGAGAACUCAGGAGAAGGAACUCGGCAAAUUGAUACCGUAACUUCGGGAGAAGGUAUGCCUUUGUAUGGUGAAUAGCCAGAAGAGGCCGCAGAGAAUAGGUGGCUGCGACUGUUUAUUAAAAACAUAGCACUCUGCAAACACGAAAGUGGAAGUAUAGGGUGUGACGCCUGCCCGGUGCUGGAAGGUUAAUUGAUGUGGUGCAAGCUAUUGAUCGAAGCCCCAGUAAACGGCGGCCGUAACUAUAACGGUCCUAAGGUAGCGAAAUUCCUUGUCGGGUAAGUUCCGACCUGCACGAAUGGCGUAACGAUGGCCACACUGUCUCCUCCUGAGACUCAGCGAAGUUGAAGUGUUUGUGAUGAUGCAAUCUCCCCGCGGCUAGACGGAAAGAC